UGUGAAGGGGAAAUAACUGUUGAUGAAUGUACUGAUGCAAUUUUUAAAAUGAAACUAAAUAAAGCUCCUGGGCUUGAUGGAUUAAAUGUUGAAUUUUACAGAAAAUUUUGGGAAGAAUUAAAAACUUUUAUAGUCGCUACUUUUAAUUAUUGUUAUGAAAAAGGAAAGCUAUCAAACACUCAGAAAGUAGGUUUAAUAUCCUUAAUUUAUAAAAAAAAUGACCCUCUUUCACUAGAUAAUUAUAGACCUAUAACUCUUUUAAAUUAUGAUGCAAAAUUACUCGCUUAUGCAUUAGCACAAAGAUUAAAACCCCUGCUACCCAAAAAUUAUACACACUGACCAGAAAGGAUA
Molecule: long non-coding RNA, 351 nt
Filed under: Mytilus galloprovincialis (Mediterranean mussel)
Lineage: Eukaryota; Metazoa; Mollusca; Bivalvia; Mytilida; Mytilidae
Source: RNAcentral